GAAACAUUCAAGGAUAAUUUCUGCUAGAUUUGGCUUCUCUAGUGUUUUGAGGCAACUGGAAAAGCCACUUCCAUAUUGUAAUUGGAUGAAAACACAUUGAGAAGAUGGAUGAUGAAGGACGCCUAUUCAUUAAAAAACGAUCUGAAUCAACUAUAAGAGAAACAUGAAGUUGCAUUGUCUCUUAUGAUCCCAACUCGUAAUGCUAAUAGCGUUAAAGCAAUCAUCUUAAACAUGUUGCACAGAUUUUGCAGAUACAAUUUUAUUCCAAUGAGGAAAGAAAUCCGAAAGAAAGUAUGACCUCCACUGACAUGAACCAGUUUUUCGUGCUGCAUGUCCUGGAAGCUUUACCAGCAUCUCUUACCAGACAUCAGGACGAAGCUCUCCAGUUGCUGGAGGCAUCCAUUUCCCAGAGUUGUAAACACUUUCACCAACUUUCCAACCGGGAACAUCCUUCAUGAUUCUCGCCUCUUCUUCAAGAUACUUCUUCCACUCUUUAACAAAUCUUUCAUCU
Molecule: unclassified non-coding RNA, 511 nt
Filed under: Hevea brasiliensis (rubber tree)
Lineage: Eukaryota; Viridiplantae; Streptophyta; Magnoliopsida; Malpighiales; Euphorbiaceae
Source: RNAcentral